UACGGAGGGUGCAAGCGUUAUCCGGAUUCACUGGGUUUAAAGGGUGCGUAGGAGGACUGGUAAGUCAGUGGUGAAAUCCCCGAGCUUAACUUGGGAACUGCCGUUGAUACUAUCAGUCUUGAAUGUUGUGGAGGUAAGCGGAAUAUGUCAUGUAGCGGUGAAAUGCUUAGAUAUGACAUAGAACACCUAUUGCGAAGGCAGCUUACUACGCAGAUAUUGACGCUCAUGCACGAAAGCGUGGGGAUCAAACAGG
This 253-nucleotide ribosomal RNA is filed under the name uncultured bacterium. RNAcentral's name for it is "partial 16S ribosomal RNA". It matches the Rfam family "Bacterial small subunit ribosomal RNA", at positions 524 to 776 of the family's 1533-position model. The record is from RNAcentral.